UAGGGAAUCUUCCGCAAUGAACGCAAGUCUGACGGAGCAACGCCGCGUGAGUGAAGAAGGAUUUCGGUUCGUAAAACUCUGUUGUUAGAGAAGAACAGCGCAUAGAGUAACUGUUAUGCGUGUGACGGUAUCUAACCAGAAAGCCACGGCUAACUACGUGCCAGCAGCCGCGGUAAUACGUAGGUGGCAAGCGUUGUCCGGAUUUAUUGGGCGUAAAGCGAGCGCAGGCGGUCAAUUAAGUCUGAUGUGAAAGCCCCCGGCUCAACCGGGGAGGGUCAUUGGAAACUGGUUGACUUGAGUGCAGAAGAGGAGAGUGGAAUUCCAUGUGUAGCGGUGAAAUGCGUAGAUAUAUGGAGGAACACCAGUGGCGAAGGCGACUCUCUGGUCUGUAACUGACGCUGAGGCUCGAAAGCGUGGGUAGCAAACAGG
Molecule: ribosomal RNA, 429 nt
Filed under: Bacteroidota bacterium
Lineage: Bacteria; Pseudomonadati; Bacteroidota
Description: Bacteroidetes bacterium partial 16S ribosomal RNA
Rfam family: Bacterial small subunit ribosomal RNA
Source: RNAcentral